Molecule: ribosomal RNA, 274 nt
Filed under: uncultured bacterium
Lineage: Bacteria
Description: partial 16S ribosomal RNA
Rfam family: Archaeal small subunit ribosomal RNA
Source: RNAcentral
AAACCAGCACCUCAAGUGGUCAGGAUGAUUAUUGGGCCUAAAGCAUCCGUAGCCGGCUCUGUAAGUUUUCGGUUAAAUCUGUACGCUUAACGUACAGGCUGCCGGAAAUACUGCAGAGCUAGGGAGUGGGAGAGGUAGACGGUACUCGGGAGGAAGGGGUAAAAUCCUUUGAUCUCUCGAUGACCACCUGUGGCGAAGGCGGUCUACCAGAACACGUCCGACGGUGAGGGAUGAAAGCUGGGGGAGCAAACCGGAUUAGAAACCCGGGUAGUCC